CCAGUUGUGUUUCUUUUUGAUGCAUUUGCUGGGGCUCGUCCAGGAAACAGAGCCGGAGUUCACCAAAGUCGAGGAGACUGAGCACACUGAUCAGUUCACUGUAAAGCUAGGAGCGGACAUGAACCUCAUAGAUCUGUGGUCCGCGGAUCCAGUUCCCACCCAAGUACCCACCCUCAAACCUUUGUCUUCGCCCGGUCUUGUCCGGAUUGUUAGAGGCUCCGGUCCCGUCCGGAGAUCUUCCUCCUCCGAUGUCUCUAUCAGAUUUCCUGGUCCCAUCUCCUCCACUGGUUUCAGCCAGUCCCCUGGAUUUGUCGGCCCUACUGGUGUCGUCCAGCUCCUCGGCUCUGCCUCCGCCGCUAUUGCCGUGUGGCUCAUCAGCCUUGCCUCAGGCUUCCCAGCUCAGUAUGGCGCCGAGUCCCCAGCUUCACUUCGGCCCUCCAGGCCCAUGUCUCCACCUCGGCCUGUCAGCCCGCCGACUCCGCUCCGGCUCUGUAUUCCUUCGGCUCCACCGAGGCUCGUCUGCCCUAGGACUCCUCUGGGCUCCCUCGUACAUUCGGACAAACCUCGGUCGGUCGUCGCUCCGCUUCCGCCACGGACUUCCGGGUCUCCGGCUGCGCCUCGACCCUCCACCCCUUCGGCUUCACCGGGCUCCUCCCUUCCUCUGGUUUCCCUGUCGUCCUCGCUCACUCCAUCAUCGCCCUGGUCAGCCGAAUCCCUGGCUCCGCCUCAGUCACGUGAGCCAGCCGCUCCACCUUGGGCUUCCAGGCCUUCGAUGUCCUGGUCCAUCGGCCUCUCUGCUCCGCCGGUUCCGCCACGUACCCUGGUUCCGCCUCCGUGGAUCGGCUUCUGGGUGUCGCCCAGUCCUUCAGCCAAAGCUCCUCCCUGGUUCUUCCCACCGUCGGCUCCACCAUGGUGUUGGUCUCCUCCGAAUUCGCCAGGUUCCAGUCCUUCACCAGCACCACACCCUCCGCCUAAGCCUCCACCCUCUUUCCUCUUUUCUGUCAUCUACUGUUGUGGCGUGAGGUCACGCCUUCCGAAAGGGGGAGCUAAUAUCACGAUUAUGUUUAGUUUCUGUAAUGAGCUCUCAUUAGUUACCAUGGUUUCUGAUUAGUUAAUCCUUGUUCAGCUGUUCCUGCUUAUUUCCCUCAUUUACCUUGUGUGUAUUUAUAGUCCUG
This 1175-nucleotide long non-coding RNA is filed under the name Sinocyclocheilus grahami. RNAcentral's name for it is "lncRNA (ENSSGRG00000009139.1)". Lineage: Eukaryota; Metazoa; Chordata; Actinopteri; Cypriniformes; Cyprinidae. The record is from RNAcentral.